Molecule: long non-coding RNA, 439 nt
Filed under: Ananas comosus (pineapple)
Lineage: Eukaryota; Viridiplantae; Streptophyta; Magnoliopsida; Poales; Bromeliaceae
Description: long non-coding RNA (ACOM_LNC012960)
Source: RNAcentral
GUUGAGAUUCUCUUAUAGUUCUAAACUAGUUAAGAGAUCCGCGCGAUGCUGUGGAUAAUUAUUUUAAAAUUUAAUUUUAAAAAUUAGUUAUAAAAAGCAAUUUCAGAAUUUAAAUAGUGCAAUAAUUAUAUCAAAAAAUUUUAGUAGGCAUAGUAGUCCUCCAUUAAUUAGUGAAAUAAUUUUAGUACGUAUCGUAUUCCCCCAAUAGUUAGUGAAUGAGAAGAGAAAUUAUUGUUUGUGAUUCUCGCAAUUAAUUGUCGUCAAAUAUAAAAUUAACUAAAGUUGUAUCAAUUUUUUUAUUUUUUAAUGUACAAUUUAUAUGUGAAUGCUCAAUAUUAUAAAAUUAAUAUUUAUAUCUAAUACUAGUAGUCUAAAUUAUUUAAUAUUUAUUUAUAUAUUUUAUAUUUUAUAAAAAUAAGGAGUAAAUUAGAUAAUAAAU